Long non-coding RNA from Ictalurus punctatus (channel catfish), 2151 nucleotides. RefSeq lists it as uncharacterized. NCBI's taxonomy places the organism in Eukaryota, Metazoa, Chordata, Actinopteri, Siluriformes, Ictaluridae. The record is from RefSeq and is a predicted model, not a curated record. The transcript is spliced from 3 exons.
UGAGGUUUUUUUCUUCACUUUAAAGUGAACACAUUAAAGCUAGAUUAGGACAACAGGCGACUUAGGACUAAGUCUAGUUUGGACAAAAUGGCUUGAGGAAAAAAAUCAUAGUAGGUUGUUAAAGGGACACUGUUAAAUCAUAACUGCUAUGAUGCAGAUGCAGGUAAACUGCUGUAAAUCUGCAUAUUGGUAUCUGAUAACACAGUUAGCACACCUGCAGAGCGGUUUGAUUUGACCCUGCCGCCCCAUGGCACUGUUCCAAUACAGAUAAAAUGCCCUUUAGAUGUAGCCUUGAGCUGAGAGGAAGUGCAGAAGGGAGUCGUACGAGACUUGAUAUUGAGCGACGCUUGCAGUAUAGUUAAAUCUUCUGUUUACUUCAAUUCUCAUUAUAGCAAUUGGGUUAUUUAAUUAUUUCUUUAAUAAAUAUAUGAGAAUAUUUGAGGUGUUUUCAUUACAUACCUACAGAGUAUGUAUUCUAUAGAUUUUUGUUGUCUUUUUUUCUCCUGCACUAUGGUGUUGUAGCAUAGCGGCCUCCACUUCCAAUCAAUGCAUCCUUGUAAUAAAUAAGGCAUCUUUUCAGUAUAAGAGCUGAAGGCAGGUACAAUGCACAUGCAAACAAUCUGGUUUAUAGACUGAUGCUUGUUUUGUUGUUGUUGUUGUUGUUGUUGUUGUUUUUUACACAAAAGGAAAAACCCUCACCUUAAACAUACACACGAGCUGUUUUAAUGAAGUAUUUGUGCCCAUGCAAAAGCUCACAGCAGUCUGAAUCAUGAAUAAGCUCCUGCACAAAAUGAUUCAGCUACGAAAUGUUCACUGCAGUUGAAUGUCAACACGUGAAACUGUUUCCUGAUGUGCUGGAGGGGUAAAGAAUGGUCCUUGCUGUAGAGGGAGCUCUCUCGCUGUCUUUUUGUCAUAUCUUGCUCUCCACUGAUUAAUGUUUUGAAUAUUAACCUUGUCAGUGUUGUUUGUCUGUCAUUGAUGAAACACUUUACCUCAUUAUUAAAAAUGAAGGAGGUGUCGUGUCAUGUUUAUGUAGUGAGAUAGAAAGGAGAGAUAAGGGAAAGUUCCCAGCACUUCCUGGCCUGUAUUUAUAUGUUCAGACUUGUGUGUGUGUGUGUGUGUGUGUGUGUGUGUGUGUGUCUGUCUUUUUAACAGUGUAUAGAUCUCUCAUGCAUGGUAUUAUGCUAGGGGGUUUCUCCAAUUCCAUACUGAGCCUGCCACCCUUACCUGUGGUUUUUAUACACACACACACACACACUUCACUCACUCUACCCAUCCGAGACAUCACUCCAAGCUAAGGGUGGAGGAAUGCAGUCAUCGGCGCCAUCCUAGCAUUCUCACUAAGUCUAAUCCUUGACAUCACCUUUGUUUAUCAGUUUGUUUUAGUUACAUUUACACACAAGAGGAAGACGUUUGUCAGGUUUUCAACCGUGUGUGUCCUUACCUCACACACAGGUGCUUACUCAUAUACACACACACUCUCAUGCACACUCCCUUUUACCGCUUCUAACAGAACAAAUUCAAGCUCAGUGCUUUCUUCAUGGACAAGCAUCCAAAUGCCCAGCUGUGGAAGUGGAUUCUGGGAAAGCACACACCCUUCACUUGCUUCAUGUGGAUUCUUGCGGUGAGGAGGAUGUAUGUUUUCUUGAGGUCAUGGAUGGAUUAUACAUACAGGAGGGAGAGAAGUGCUCACGAAUGUGCUGUGAGGAAAAUCGGACAGGUACACUGUUGAACGUACAUGAAGUCACAGGGAAUCACAUGCUUCAUCUUGUUUUACUUUUUCACCACCUGCUUGGGAUCUGUGCAAGACAGACAGCAUCUGAUGGGAUUACCAAAAAAAAAAUUUUUCUCUAUGACGACAUGUUCACAAAACUUUUUUUUUGCCCUUCUGAGAAGCUGGACUGUGAGCCAAUGAACUCGAAUCAUACUUUGUUCUUCAGUAAAUUAUAUUUCAGUAAAUUUGCAUGGGAUUAAAAAAAAAGGACAUGGGCUUAAAAAUGUGCUUGUCCACUUGCUAUUUGCUUUAAUUGUUUGACUCAGCUCAUUCUCACUUUCUCACUGUUUUUACUGGAUACUGAUGUUCACAUAUGCUUGUUUUCAUUCAAAAGCACAAAUGUACAAAAUAAAAGCGCUACAAUACUUGCCAAGACA